RNAcentral lists this ribosomal RNA (279 nucleotides) under uncultured bacterium. RNAcentral describes it as "partial 16S ribosomal RNA". It matches the Rfam family "Bacterial small subunit ribosomal RNA", at positions 506 to 784 of the family's 1533-position model. The record is from RNAcentral.
UGCCAGCAGCCGCGGUAAUACGAAGGGGGCGAGCGUUGUUCGGAAUUACUGGGCGUAAAGGGCGCGUAGGCGGUCUUUUAAGUUAGGCGUGAAAGCCCCGGGCUCAACCUGGGAACUGCGCUUAAGACUGAAAGACUAGAAAACGGAAGAGGGUAGUGGAAUUCCCAGUGUAGAGGUGAAAGUCGUAGAUAUUGGGAAGAACACCAGUGGCGAAAGCGGAUACCUGGUCCGAUUUUGAAGCUGAGUCGCGAAAGCGUGGGGAGAGAACAGGAUUAGAUA